AAAAACACAAAACACAGAAAAACACAGCUCUCGUUUCUCUCCUAAACACCCAACGGAACCCUAGCUCCGGCCCGGUUAAUCCGGUGCCGGAGGCGCCUCUCUUUUCCUCUCCCUCUUUUUCCUUUUGCUUUCUCUUCCCCUUUGUCCUUAGUCGAUAUGCUCGUUACUCUGGUGGGAUCUCCACUUGAUGCUCCUCUUUGACGCAGACGGUGGCAAGAUCUGACGAUCUGGAGCUGCGGCGAGGCUAACGAGAUGACGUGGGAGGACGAAAGUCGGCUUUUAGGGUUUUCAGAGUUACUGGAUCUGGUUUUUCCCCUUUUCAGAUUCACGGCAACUCCGACUCGGCGACGGCGCGUGGCUACGAAAUACACUUCCUUCACCUCGGAUCUACGUCCAUACGUGACGGUGAGACAAACGAAGGAAAAGUAGACGGCGAACAGACAGAGUUUGGUCUUCCGGGAUCUCCGGGAACACACGAACAAUGGCUCCCGCAGACUAAUGGGCAAAGAAGAAGAUACACUCUAGCGGUGGUUCGUGGCGGUGGCUUAUACCCUAGCUCUGAAGGUUUCUAACUUAUGGUACGAGCUCCGCUUCUCUGAAAUUCGGAUAUGGUGUAUCGACCCGCGUUUUGUGCAGCUGGAACCCGACUUUCAUUCGGAUACUGUGUCCGUUUUUAGGCUGAGGGUCACAGCGGUUGAAGACCAACAAGAUGAGGCUAUCUCGACUACGCAUCUACGGUGUUGAAGCUAUUGGAUCAUGAACUUUGAUGCCGAUUAUUAGGGUCCUUUAGCUAGUUUUAAUUGGUCUCGGGUAUAGUUCUUAGUCCUGUUGUGUUAGUAGGCGUUGUUGUACCAUGAGGUCGAAUUAGGAGGUUGAAGAGAAGGAUCAGUCCGGGUCGUGGAUUGAUCUCUUUCUCAUUGUGGUUCAAAGUACUUUGAGAUUUAAAUUAGGUAGCGUUGGAUCCAAUCAAGUGAUUCAGGGUGUUACUAGAUCAUCUCAAAGUACUAGUGGUUUAAAUUUCUAGUGGUCAAAUCUUUGUAUCCACAAAAUUGGUGAAAUGAAUGUUGAUGUUGAGCCAAAAAAAAAAAAAAAAAAGAAAACACAUUCUCUUUUAUUUUGUAACUGUCUCCUCUCUGUAUCGAUGUGUUCUUUUCGAUAUGAACCAAUCUGUAAUAUCAAUCACAAGGGGCCCACAUUAACUUGUCACGAUGGUCACAGUGUUAUGUAACUGAGCGUUACAACUGGGGAAGCAACGGCUACAAUAAACUUAAACUGGGAUCCUUUACUUACACCAAAUUCAAAGUCUC
This 1307-nucleotide long non-coding RNA is filed under the name Brassica rapa (field mustard). Its description in RNAcentral is "long non-coding RNA (BRAP_LNC000654)". Lineage: Eukaryota; Viridiplantae; Streptophyta; Magnoliopsida; Brassicales; Brassicaceae. The record is from RNAcentral.